UACACAUUUAGUGCUUAUAGUAAGUUUCUUUUCAUGUUUUGAUAAUUCAAAUAUCAUGUUGGUAUAUAAAUGCCAAAGUGCAUUAGUGUGAUGAGUCAGUGUAUGAAUUCAGGGUUAGUGUUGUAUGGACUCUCUGUGUUUGAACACAGGAGAACAUUUGAGCAGUGUGUGUGUGUGCAAUUGUCCUAUCCCCUCCUCUCCUUACCAUGCAGAGCA
Non-coding RNA from Pelobates cultripes (western spadefoot toad), 216 nucleotides. Lineage: Eukaryota; Metazoa; Chordata; Amphibia; Anura; Pelobatidae. The record is from the annotation of a GenBank genome assembly.